AUUGAACGCUGGCGGCAUGCCUAACACAUGCAAGUCGAACGGGGCGCUUCGGCGCCUAGUGGCGGACGGGUGAGUAAAGCGUAGGAAUCUGCCUUGUAGUGGGGGACAACCUGGGGAAACGUCAGGCUAAUACCGCAUACGCUCGCGAGAGGAAGCGGGGGAUCUUCGGACCUCGCGCCGCAAGAAGAGCCUACGUCCGAUUAGCUAGUUGGUAGGGUAAAAGCCUACCAAAGGCGACGAUCGGUAGCUGGUCUAGAGAGGAUGAUCAGCCACACUGGGACUGAGACACGGCCCAGACUCCUAACGGGAGGCAGCAGUGGGGAAUAAUUGGACAAUGGGCGCAAGCCUGAUCCAGCAAUUGCCGCGU
This 367-nucleotide ribosomal RNA is filed under the name uncultured bacterium. Its description in RNAcentral is "bacterial SSU rRNA". It matches the Rfam family "Bacterial small subunit ribosomal RNA", at positions 30 to 402 of the family's 1533-position model. The record is from RNAcentral.